UGAUCCUGGCUCAGGAUGAACGCUGGCGGCAUGCCUAAUACAUGCAAGUCGAACGAGAGGAAGAAAAGCUUGCUUUUCUGAAUCUAGUGGCGAACGGGUGAGUAACACGUAGGUAACCUGCCCAUGUGCCCGGGAUAACUUCUGGAAACGGAUGCUAAAACCGGAUAGGUAGCAGACAAGCAUUUGACUGCUAUUAAAGUGGCUAAGGCCAUGAACAUGGAUGGACCUGCGGUGCAUUAGCUAGUUGGUGAGGUAACGGCCCACCAAGGCGACGAUGCAUAGCCGGCCUGAGAGGGCGGACGGCCACAUUGGGACUGAGACACGGCCCAAACUCCUACGGGAGGCAGCAGUAGGGAAUUUUCGUCAAUGGGGGGAACCCUGAACGAGCAAUGCCGCGUGAGUGAAGAAGGUCUUCGGAUUGUAAAGCUCUGUUGCAAGAGAAAAACGACAUUCAUAGGGAAUGAUGAGUGAGUGAUGGUAUCUUACCAGAAAGUCACGGCUAACUACGUGCCAGCAGCCGCGGUAAUACGUAGGUGGCGAGCGUUAUCCGGAAUGAUUGGGCGUAAAGGGUGCGUAGGUGGCAGAACAAGUCUGGAGUAAAAGGUAUGGGCUCAACCCGUACUGGCUCUGGAAACUGUUCAGCUAGAGAACAGAAGAGGACGGCGGAACUCCAUGUGUAGCGGUG
This 685-nucleotide ribosomal RNA is filed under the name uncultured Eubacterium sp. Its description in RNAcentral is "bacterial SSU rRNA". It matches the Rfam family "Bacterial small subunit ribosomal RNA", at positions 14 to 683 of the family's 1533-position model. Lineage: Bacteria; Bacillati; Bacillota; Clostridia; Eubacteriales; Eubacteriaceae. The record is from RNAcentral.